UUGCCUACGGGUGGCUGCAGUGGGGAAUAUUGGACAAUGGGCGCAAGCCUGAUCCAGCCAUGCCGCGUGAGUGAUGAAGGCCCUAGGGUUGUAAAGCUCUUUCGACGGGGAAGAUAAUGACGGUACCCGUAGAAGAAGCCCCGGCUAACUUCGUGCCAGCAGCCGCGGUAAUACGAAGGGGGCUAGCGUUGCUCGGAAUGACUGGGCGUAAAGCGCACGUAGGCGGAUCGUUAAGUCGGGGGUGAAAUCCUGGAGCUCAACUCCAGAACUGCCUUCGAUACUGGCGAUCUCGAGUCCGGGAGAGGUGAGUGGAACUCCGAGUGUAGAGGUGAAAUUCGUAGAUAUUCGGAAGAACACCAGUGGCGAAGGCGGCUCACUGGCCCGGUACUGACGCUGAGGUGCGAAAGCGUGGGGAGCAAACAGGAUUAGAUACCCGGGUAGUC
Molecule: ribosomal RNA, 443 nt
Filed under: uncultured Blastochloris sp.
Lineage: Bacteria; Pseudomonadati; Pseudomonadota; Alphaproteobacteria; Hyphomicrobiales; Blastochloridaceae
Description: bacterial SSU rRNA
Rfam family: Bacterial small subunit ribosomal RNA
Source: RNAcentral